This is a long non-coding RNA of Artibeus jamaicensis (Jamaican fruit-eating bat), 484 nucleotides long. RefSeq lists it as uncharacterized. The transcript is spliced from 3 exons. Lineage: Eukaryota; Metazoa; Chordata; Mammalia; Chiroptera; Phyllostomidae. The record is from RefSeq and is a predicted model, not a curated record.
CUCCCUGGGCUUGGAUACCAUCUUAAUUGCUUCCAGUCCUCCUGGGGCAGUGAAGUUCAAUUGCUUGUGGUCCCGGACUCCAGAGAGGAAGAGACGGAGAGAAACAUCACUGUGUAUUUGCCUCUUGUGUGCUUCCCACUGGGGACCUGGCCUGCAACCUGGGAACUGAAGGCGACUUCAGCAUCUUCACUCCAGGGACCAUAAGCAGUUCCACCUUUGUGCCUCUGGAGGACUGCAGGCAAUCAAGAUGGUAUCUGAGCCAUUGUACUCCAGGGUGAGACACCCACUGACAAAACAGAUGAAAACCAUUGCCUAGGUCACAGAUAAAAGAAUGCUGCAGCUUUUAUGUGCUCAACUAUUCCCCUGAAUACCAAACCCCUUAACUACACUUUUCCCCUCAUAAAAAGGGCUGGCCUGAAAUGAAAUGUAAGACAUUCUCUCGGGUACAUAACCCAAAGUUUUCUCAGAUCGCUGGUCAUGUAAA